AAGCGGAGCUACGGGUGCUGGGAAACCAGAACUAGCCAGUUUUCUAAACAGAGUGGUUAGCAAAAUUACAUGUUGUGAAAUGGGGCUCCAUCCUUUAAAGGAUCAUUACCUAUUUUUAAAAGAACCUGUCCAAUGAUUCUUCUUGACAGCCAGAUGUGGACAGAUGGUAAAUGCCAGAUAACAAGCAGUCCUCAUUCUCAAGCUUUUGAACUUGAACAAGGAAGGACCUUGGCCAUUGAUCUCUCCAGCACCUAUAACUUUGGAUGAAGGCUUGGCAUCUGUCUACUAUUGGCUCUGGAAUGUUGCAGUUGCCACUUUUAGGGUUUUGAACACACAGUGCUCACCACCUCAACCACCAAAAUAUGGUCAUUGCCUCUGUGUCCACACAGCUGAGCUCCAUGUGAGGGUGAAGCACAAAUGACGUUGUAAGCAUGGCCUUCCUCUGGACCCAUGGAGGCAAAACCAAAAACCUUGAAGGCUUUUCAUAAGAUGCAAAACAAAGAAGAAUCUGGAACUAGGAUUCAGAUGCCACCAGGAUUCAGAAUCUACAUCAUCUCUCCAAACUACACAUGGAACACGUCUCUUCUUGUCCAGCAAAGUGUUUGGUCUUAGCCUCUACACUGGAAGCUCCAUGCUGCUAACUGCCUACAGAGUGUAGAGUCUGGCUCCAGCAAGGAAGAAAAUGCCUGUGUAUUGAAAUCCUUGGUGAUGGCAAGCCACCAUGCUGCCAUGGAAUGAAAGAAAAAGCAGAGAAGACAAAGAGAUAGUCAUUACAUAAUCCUUUUCCAUUUUAUUCUACUGUCCCCUGUUUCCUCAGAAGCAACCGAAACUUCUUUAAACAUGGUCCCUCUUUAGUCCCUCUCUGCCUGGGAAACCACACAUCAUGUGCUACGGAUCCUAAAGAUCACAAUGCUUGGAGCUCUUUCAAAAACUGAAAAGGACUGCCAUCAGAGUAAAACAAAUUCAGCCCUGCCCCCAGCCCAGCCAUGCCCUAGUGGGGGUAUUUGUAUAUGGCACUGAAUCUUGUAGGCUCUGAAGUAAGGAUGCACCAUUAACUGUAUGGACUAUUAUGGUUUUUGAAGAUUUAGUCAAAAAAAACUUUAAGUGACUAGCCAAAGGUCUGAUCGGUGGCAAGCAGUGGCUGAUGCCACUCCUCUUCUCCCCUUUGUCUUUAUCAUGGGGGAUUUUGAAAUAGGAAGGCUUCACAGGAUCCUUCAAACCCUGAAAAUUACAUCUAAGUUGGUUGUAUCCACGAAGGAUCUUAUUUUUAAAGAAGGUAUCUGUAUAUGUUUUCCAGGGUUGUCUUAACUAAGCACCAUACAUCUAACCAACAGAAACAUAUUACCUUGCAGUUCAGGUGGUUGAGCC
Molecule: long non-coding RNA, 1368 nt
Filed under: Cricetulus griseus (Chinese hamster)
Lineage: Eukaryota; Metazoa; Chordata; Mammalia; Rodentia; Cricetidae
Description: lncRNA (ENSCGRG00015041694.1)
Source: RNAcentral